This is a long non-coding RNA of Beta vulgaris subsp. vulgaris (sugar beet), 469 nucleotides long. RefSeq lists it as uncharacterized. The record is from RefSeq and is a predicted model, not a curated record. The transcript is spliced from 2 exons. NCBI's taxonomy places the organism in Eukaryota, Viridiplantae, Streptophyta, Magnoliopsida, Caryophyllales, Amaranthaceae.
UAGAUUGAAUCGGGAAAUGUUGUUAUUGUUAUUUGUGGUUGUGUUCUUUUAAUGUACUUGAGUUGUAUUAGAAAAAAAAAAAUCAAUUAAAGCUCUUUCACUAGGUAAUACCAUAUAGUCAAGUGACUUAUACUAUAUUAUUAUAUUAUAGAUUGCGGGUUCGUAGAGGAACCUUUCUGACUCGAGAUUGAGUUUUGUUAGCUGUGGUUGCUGAUAAGGGACUUAAAGAUAGUUAGCUCUAGUUGGGUUAAAGAGUGCGUUGGAUCCCUUUUGAUUUAAUAGGACUUUUAAAAAGACUUCCGCUGUUAUUUAUUUAUAAGAUUUAUGUUCUGGCUUGUAAUAAUUUAUUUUACAUUCUAUUUAGUUGGUCUGUAAUAAUUAGUUAAAACUUUUGGUUAUUGUUUUAGUUAGAACCAUUAGCCUUGCGGUGAUUAUUAAUAAUUAUCGCGGCGUAGCACCUUUGGAUUUC